GACGGAGGGUGCUAGCGUUGUUCGGAAUGACUGGGCGUAAAGGGCGCGUAGGCGGCCGGUUGCGUCGGAUGUGAAAGCCCGGGGCUCAACCCCGGAACGGCAUCCGAUACGGGCUGGCUCGAGACCGAGAGAGGUGAGUGGAAUACCCAGUGUAGAGGUGAAAUUCGUAGAUAUUCGGAGGAACACCAGUGGCGAAGGCGGCUCACUGGCUCGAUACUGACGCUGAGGUGCGAAAGCGUGGGGAGCAAACAGG
This 253-nucleotide ribosomal RNA is filed under the name uncultured bacterium. RNAcentral describes it as "partial 16S ribosomal RNA". It matches the Rfam family "Bacterial small subunit ribosomal RNA", at positions 524 to 776 of the family's 1533-position model. The record is from RNAcentral.